RNAcentral lists this ribosomal RNA (438 nucleotides) under uncultured bacterium. RNAcentral describes it as "partial 16S ribosomal RNA". It matches the Rfam family "Bacterial small subunit ribosomal RNA", at positions 339 to 795 of the family's 1533-position model. The record is from RNAcentral.
CUACGGGGCGCUCCAGUGAGGAAUAUUGCACAAUGGGGGGAACCCUGAUGCGGCAACGCCGCGUGGAGGAUGACGCAUUUCGGUGUGUAAACUCCUUUUAUAUGUCAAGAAAAUGACGGUAGCAUAUGAAUAAGCACCGGCUAACUCCGUGCCAGCAGCCGCGGUAAUACGGAGGGAGCAAGCGUUACUCGGAAUCACUGGGCGUAAAGGACGCGUAGGCGGGUUGGAAAGUCAGGUGUGAAAUCCUACAGCUUAACUGUAGAACUGCACUUGAAACUUCUAAUCUAGAGUAUGGGAGGGGAGAUGGAAUUAGUGGUGUAGGGGUAAAAUCCGUAGAUAUCACUAGGAAUACCUAAAGCGAAGGCGAUCUCCUGGAACAUUACUGACGCUAAGGCGUGAAAGCGUGGGGAGCAAACAGGAUUAGAUACCCUAGUAGUC